UUCGUAACAUUUUUCAAAUGCGUAAUUUUACAUUUACAUGCCUAAUUUACCUUAAUAUUUGUUUAAUACUAAUGAAUACUGAUUUAAUCUCGUUGCAAGUCAUUAGUGUAUGGAGUCUGAGAAUGUUCCUUGCAUUUCAUUAAAUGUGUGCCAUGUCGAUAAAUAUUUAAAAUAAAAGUUGUAGAUCUCAGUGGAGUCUAUAAUUUACGCCAUGUACCACAUUUUUCUGAGGUUCAUGUGAAGUAGAAAUUCUAUUGGACCAAUUCGUAUCAAAAUUAAACUUACCCGACAAAUUUUAUUGUAGAGGCCAUUACCAAAUGUAAUCGAAAUCCGUCCUGCAAUUUAAGAGAACUGAUAGACAUCUGCGCAGUAUGCAUUUCGUAUAACAGCAUGUUAAUUAACUUAUCAAAUGGCAGUAAAGUUCAGUAAUUUAUGUAAGUAGUUACAGUAUGGCGUAAAUAAAUAUAGCACGUUACAAACAGCAGCUGAAAUCCGUAACUUGUUAAUCUACUGUUUGAAGCAUAUAAUAUAUUUGUCAGAGCUUUUGUGAACACGGUAAUGAACCUUGGUGUUCUAUUAAAGGUGGGAUAUUUCUUGACUAGCCAAGCGACUAUUAGCGUAUUAGAGUAAGUUUGAUUAUGAAAUCAGCGUGUCGGAAUAAUUAAUAAUAAUAAUUAAUAACAUUAAAUCUAUCAUAGUAUUGCCGCAAAAAUCUUUCUUUGUGAGUUAUUUGCAACAUUUUUUCUUUGAAAUUUCUUUCAGCGCCAGUGAAAUUAGUGAAUAUAUGUGAUUGAUGACUCAUGAACUUGGACGCACCUGGCAACUUGCCAGUCCACCGUUGGGUCAAUGACCGUGAAAUACAUGUGUUUUGCAAGAGCUUUGUACUUAUCAGUAUGCUUUUAGUGCGUGGGAAGAACAGAUGACUCCACUGUACUCCAGCCCACUGUUACAUCUACUCCGAACAUAAACGUUUGUGCCGUGCCCAGAGAUCAAUGCUAACGGCGGAAUACAGUCUUCACUGAGUUAAUGUGGAACAUCCAUCGUUUCGUCAGAAAAUAACAUCGUUCGUUCACUGCAGUCAGUGUAACUAUAAAGCUGGGCGUGAUACAAACUGUUAUCUUGCGGAUGCAAAUGUAGAUCGUUACCACCAGUACACCAACAUGUUUGGUGUCCCUCUUUAUAGUGCAAGUUAUCUUAUCUGAGUAGCUUCUGAUUUUAAACACUUUUUGGAAGAAUUCAUGAAUGCUUCCUUCUGGUAAUUGCUCCAUAUUUGUAGAGCGUAGCGGAAAUUAUCAGUUUUAAUUUAUGGUUUCGAUAGUCCUGACAACUGCUCAUGUUCGAAGGCAUUGAUUAGGCAGAAGACUGGGUUCGAUACCCAUUCGGGCUACAGAUAUUUGUCCCCUCCAUUUUUUAGAUUUGUCUUUCGAUAUUUUAUUGAUCAGGCUGAUUGUGGAGUCUUCUGGGUUUUGCAUCGUGUCAAAGUUCGACAUUUCUGAGGAACUUCCUACCCCGUUUUUAGGAUGUUAUUCAACGACGCCAUUUUAAUCAAAUGGGUGAUAUGGUAUUGAAUGAUUUUGGAAAGUCUUGCAUGAUGUGAGAGACAAUAAACAGUUUCAGCAAGGAAUGUGAAAUUUGGUGUGGAGAUACGUCAUAAACACAGCAUGUACAGAUAUUUUUCCAAGCUACAGGGACUGCCCUCACUGGGACUUGAACUCAGGGCACUUUUCAGGAGUUCUGACCUAUCUGAAAUCUCUUGCUGGUCUCAAAGAAUGAGUUUGCCAAGUUAGGUACAGUUACGUUUAUCCAUUCUUGAGCUAUGACUAAACCUACACAUCCACACCCAUUAUUUCAGUUUUAUGUAGAAGAUGAAUUUCAAGUUCUGAAACACAGUCACUGUGGAACACUGUAAUACAUUGUAUAUUCAUUUUUUAUAGCAACAUCUGACUCCAUUCUUUGGUACAUCUAAAAGUAAAAAUAAUGUGGAAGAAUGCCAACUGACAAGAAUUAUUUGCUGAUUGUGGAUGGCUGAAGGAUAGUAGCAUUGUAUUGGCACAUAAAAAUAAAUCACAAUCUUUAAUGUAUCUCUCUGUUUUCUCAGAAAUGUUGG
Non-coding RNA from Zootermopsis nevadensis, 2107 nucleotides. The record is from RefSeq and is a predicted model, not a curated record. Lineage: Eukaryota; Metazoa; Arthropoda; Insecta; Blattodea; Termopsidae.